Long non-coding RNA from Brassica napus (rape), 1331 nucleotides. RefSeq lists it as uncharacterized. The record is from RefSeq and is a predicted model, not a curated record. Lineage: Eukaryota; Viridiplantae; Streptophyta; Magnoliopsida; Brassicales; Brassicaceae. The transcript has 2 exons.
AUGGUCUAGAGCGAAAAACUUCCACUCAGUCUGGUAACGUUUAUUCCACCUUUUUCAAACAUUGCGAUAUCCAGAUUCGCCGCUCUCAAGAGACAGACGGCUACCUUUGUUUCGUCGGCGGUUCCCAGAAUGAUUUGAAGCAAAACAAAAUAACCGGAAAGUCGUACCAAAAAUCGGAAUUAUAUUGAACCGGUUUUAGUUAUUUUUUUCUUUGUCGUGAUAAGGCCUAAACAAAGGUCGGCGAUUAAACUAGGUAUGUACGGGUAUAUAAAUCAUUGUUCUGUCAUUCUCUGAAAGAAGAAAUAUUAUCACUGCAUGUCACUUUCCUCGUCUUUAUUUACAUCCUAGGACACAUUGUUAUACAGACACACUUUCUUCAACUACUUCUUCGCCUUUCGUUAGAUUCCAAUUAUAAAACAGCUAACUAUUUUCUAACUAAAUUCUCUUUUGGCCGGAUUUAUCUCCAACCAUUGAUCAUUUUAAAGCUCCAAGGAUUGAGAUUUAAUAUGCCAGAUCUAGAAAAGAUAUAUUUUUGCCAUUUAAUAACAACCAUUCGAUCAACAUCUCUUCCUCUUAUUUUCGACGACCCAGAUUACUCUGCACAUUUAAGGUUCUUCUUCUCUUCCUUACGCGUCUAACUUUUGUUUUGUGUUCAUCAGAGAAAAAGCUUGAAACUUUGAUAAUUAAUCCCAGAUUCUCAAUCUUGAUUAUUGGAUUCUAAGUUGUGGUUUGUGAGGUAUCUUCCAUAAAUCCACCGUCCAUCGUAAAAUUAUGUCUUUCCGGUAAUCUCUAACCCCGAUUCCUAAUUCGAUCUCUCUCUAACUCGAUUCAUCACAGUUUCACGAUACAUCGUCGAAGUUAUCACCUUUUCUUUCUUCGCCAACUAUGCCGCCACGGCUUCCUCCCUUACGCCGUCCAAAAGCCUUAGGCCACCCUUAAUUUUCUUGCCCUUUCAUCUUAGAGAACAUCAAAUUGUUUAAAGAUGUUCUCUCCUCAUUCGCAUCCGUCGCAUCAAAAUCUCAUCUUCCUGCUGAAUUCUAUGGCGGAUACGUUGUCUCACUUAGCUUUGGGUCUCUGAUAAUAUUUGUUUGUCUGGAAAAUUUAUUUACAGAUUGAAGAUGAUGUAUUACAUUAGUUUGUUUUGUAAGCUGAAAGCAUAUUUAGGCAGCCUAGAGCAAUGCAGGCUAUGAACACUAGUUUCACUUUGCAGUGUCGUUUUUAAGGCUUGAUUCUCGUCUUAUUCCUCCUGCAACUUCAUCGAAAGCACUAACAUUGAUGUAUAUUGUACAAUCAAUAUCGUAUCCACGUGUAUAUAUAAUUUUUGCUGUCCA